This 253-nucleotide ribosomal RNA is filed under the name uncultured bacterium. Its description in RNAcentral is "partial 16S ribosomal RNA". It matches the Rfam family "Bacterial small subunit ribosomal RNA", at positions 524 to 776 of the family's 1533-position model. The record is from RNAcentral.
UACGUAGGAUCCAAGCGUUGUCCGGAUUUACUGGGUGUAAAGGGUGCGCAGGCGGACUGGUUAGUCUGGGGUGAAAUCUCAUCGCUUAACGGUGAAACUGCCUUAGAUACUGCCAGUCUUGAAUUAGGGAGAGGUUCGUGGAAUUCCGAGUGUAGCAGUGAAAUGUGUAGAUAUUCGGAAGAACACCAGUGGCGAAGGCAGCGAACUGGCCCUUAAUUGACGCUCAGGCACGAAAGCAUGGGGAUCAAACAGG